RNAcentral lists this long non-coding RNA (7601 nucleotides) under Lactuca sativa (garden lettuce). Its description in RNAcentral is "long non-coding RNA (LSAT_LNC009335)". The record is from RNAcentral. Lineage: Eukaryota; Viridiplantae; Streptophyta; Magnoliopsida; Asterales; Asteraceae.
AAACUUCGACGGGUCAUAACUUCUUCGUUAUAACUCGGAUUUCGGCGUUCCUUAUAUGCACGGAAACCUUGAGACAUAUUCUACAACUUUAUGUAGAGAUAUCGGGAUUAUCUCACACUUUAAUUUUGACGCUCAUUUUUAUUCUUUAUUAAUUAUACAUUUAUAAUUAAAUAAUAAACACAUAUAAUUCACAUAAUACUCAAAUAUUUCAUCUUUAUUACUUCAAAAAGAGUUACAAGAGUUGACCUAGACUAUUACAUUGACAAAAAUGCUUAGCCCUGAAACCCGGGCGUUACAAUUCUCUCCCCCUUAGGAUGAUUCCGUCCCGGAAUCAUGCAUCAGCAAACAGAUGUGGAUAGCGACUCAUCAUGUCAUCCUCUGUUUCCCAAGUGAGAUUCGGCCCAUUCGAAUGUUUCCAUCGGACUAGCACCAAGUCGACCAUCUUGCGUCGUAACUUCUUAGUCUUACGGUCAACAAUUGCCUCAGGCUCUUCGAUCAACCUUUUAUUUUCAUCCAUCCUUAACUCUGAGAUUGGAAUUAUGUCGGGAACAUCUCCCGUGAAUUUCCUCAAAUAACACACAUGGAAGGUGUUAUGAAUACCAUUGAGUUCUUCGGGCAAUUCCAGCUUGUAAGCUUGGUUCCCUAUCUUCUGAAGAACUUUGAACGGUCCAAUAAACCUUGGACUCAACUUUCCUCGUUUCCCAAAUCGUAUAAGUCCCUUCCACGGUGAGACUUUAAGCAAAACGGAAUCCCCAACUUCGAAAGUUAUCGGUCGUCUUUUCUUGUCAGCAUAGCUCUUCUGACGAUCCUGGGCUGCUAACAUCCUUUCCCUAAUCACCUUCAACUUCUCAGCAGUCUCAUGGACUAUCUCGGGGCCCAUAAACUGCUUCUCUCCGGCUUCAAGCCAACAAGACGGCGUACGACACUUCUGCCCAUACAAGGCUUGAUAAGGAGCCAUCUUGAUGCUCGAGUGAAAACUAUUGUUGUAGGAAAAUUCUACCAGAGGUAAGUGCUCGUCCCAAUUCCCUUGGAAUUCGAGGGUACAUGCUCUCAGCAUAUCUUCCAGCGUCUGAAUCGUUCUUUCGCUCUGACCAUCAGUUUGCGGAUGAUAAGCAGUACUCAAACACAACUUUGUACCUAACUCCUCUUGUAGACUCCUCCAAAACCUUGACGUGAAACGACUAUCACGAUCUGAUACAAUCGUAAGAGGGACACCGUGAAGUCUUACAAUUUCCUUCACGUAAGCAUUUGCGAGCUUAUCCAUAGACCACUUCUCGUUGGCUGCUAUGAAGUGUGCACUCUUGGUGAAACGAUCCACGACUACCCAAAUCAUGUCGUGACCGUUCUUCGUCCUGGGCAGUUUAGUCACAAAAUCCAUGGUGAUGUCUUCCCAUUUACCCAUGGGUACAGGUAAAGGUUCUAAACUCCCAUACGGUUUCUGAUGUUGUGCCUUAACCCUCGCACAUGUUACGCACUCGGCCACAUACUUCGCAACAUCGAGCUUCAUCGUCGGCCACCAGUAGUAGGGUUUUAGGUCCCUAUACAUUUUAGUGCUACCGGGAUGAAUCGAGUACAUGGUCUUGUGUGCUUCUUCCAUCAGAAGAUCUCUUAUUCCUCCCGUCUUAGGUACCCAAAUUCGAUCUUGGAAUACCUUCAGUCCUCGACUGUUUGUACCGAACACUAACGUUCUUCCCAAACGUUCUUCCUUUCGGUCAUUUUUCUCUAAAGCUUCUUCUUGAGCUUUCCUGAUACUUUCCACAAUCGUCGAGACGACUUCAAUUCUUAACGCUCUUGGCCUUUUCCUUUCCAGAUUGACUUUCCGACUGAGAGCAUCAGCAACAAUAUUUGCUUUACCUGGGUGGUAAAGUAUCUCACAGUCGUAGUCCUUGAGAAGUUCUAGCCAGCGUCGUUGCCUCAUGUUCAACUCCUUCUGAUUAAAGAGAUACUGGAGACUCUUAUGAUCAGUGAAGAGCUUGCACUUCGUGCCGUAGAGGUAAUGCCUCCAUAUCUUUAAGGCAAAAACUACCGCUGCCAACUCCAGAUCAUGAGUGGGGUAGUUCUUUUCGUGCUCUUUCAAUUGUCGAGAUGCGUAUGCUAUCACCUUUUCUCUUUGGGUCAGAACACAACCCAACCCGACUCCAGAAGCGUCACUAUAAACCGCGAAAUCUUCGACUCCAUCGGGUAGAGAAAGUAUCGGUGCUUCACAUAACUUCUUCUUUAGCUUCUCGAAUGCCUCAUCGUGUUUCUCACUCCACGUAUACGUAGCUCCUUUAUGAGUCAAAGCUGUUAAUGGAGCAGCUAUCGAAGAAAAGCCUUGGAUAAAUCGUCGAUAAUAUCCGGCUAAUCCUAGAAAGCUUCGAAUCUCCGUGGGACUCUUUGGACGUUCCCACUUCAUUACAGCCUCGAUCUUUGCGGGGUCAACCAUUAUUCCCUCCUGGUUAACAACAUGACCCAAGAAUUGGACUUCCCGUAUCCAAAAGUCGCAUUUGGAGAACUUUGCAAAAAGCUUCUCCUUCUUCAACACUUCUAAUACUUCCCGUAGAUGCUUGCCAUGCUCCUCUUGGCUUUUCGAGUAGAUGAGAAUGUCGUCGAUGAACACUAUCACGGAUUUAUCGAGGAAUGGUUUACAAACCCUAUUCAUCAAAUCCAUGAAUGCUGCGGGAGCAUUGGUUAGCCCGAAUGACAUAACCAAGAACUCGUAGUGUCCAUAUCUCGUUCUGAAUGCAGUCUUCUCAAUAUCCUGCUUUCUCACCUUUAGCUGAUGAUAUCCUGACCUAAGAUCGAUCUUUGAGAAGUAGCUCGAACCUUGCAGCUGAUCGAAUAGGUCAUCAAUCCUCGGCAAUGGAUACUUGUUCUUCACCGUUGCCUUAUUCAGCUCUCGGUAGUCUAUACACAUUCUCAUACUUCCGUCCUUCUUCUUCACGAAUAACACCGGAGCUCCCCAGGGUGAUGAACUAGGUCGAAUAAAACCGUUGUCCAACAGCUCCUGAAGUUGCGUCAUGAGCUCCUUCAUCUCCGUCGGUGCUAAUCGGUAAGGUGCCUUUGCUAUCGGUGUUGUUCCUGGUAACAAGUCUAUACGAAACUCCACUUGCCUAUCAGGUGGUAAUCCGGGAAGAUCUUCGGGAAAGACUUCCGGAUAAUCACACACAACCGGUAUAUUCUGCACCUCUUUCUUCUCCUUCUUGGCAUCGAUUACGAAUGCCAAGUAUGAUGCACAUCCUUUGGACAAACAUUUCCUGGCUUUCAUCAGGGAGAUGAUUCCAGAAUUCACUCUGCGUUUGUCCCCAUACACCAUAAAUGAUUCUUUUCCGGGUGGGUUUACCUUUACUAUCUUCUUUCGGCAUUGAAUCUCAGCAUCGUUGGCGCUAAGCCAAUCCAUACCCAAAACGAUGUCGAAACCGUUUAACUCUAUGGGUAAUAGCUCUUCGUGGAAUUCGUUUCCGUUUAGGUCAAUGACGAUGUUCCUAAUACGAUUACUAACAGGUACGAAUUUGCCACUGGCAACUUCUACAAUCAGGGCAUUAUCUAGUUUUUCUACAGGCAAUGCUAAUUUCCCACCAAAUUUAUGCGACACAAAGGAGUAGUUGGCUCCGGAAUCAAAUAGUAUAUUUGCAGGCAAACCAUUUACAAGAAAGGUACCUGAAGCGACGUCUGCUGCCUCCUUUGCAGCCUCGAGCGUCAUCUGGAAGGCUCUCGCCUUCGGCUUCGGUGGUAUGUUGGGUCUUCCUGUCUCCUUCUUCUUCGGGCAGUCCUUCAAAAUGUGCCCUUCUUCAUUGCACCCAUAACAGGCUUUCUGGUUGAGGGUGCAUUCAUUGGCGUAGUGCCCAGGCUUUCCGCACUUGUAACAAGUGACCCCUCCGUCACACUUCCCAGAGUGCUUCUUCUUGCACUUGUCACACCACUUCGCUUCUGAUCCUCCUCCCCUCGAACCAGACUUCGAGAAUCUACUCUUCUUGUUGGACUUCGAGGAUCCAUUGAACUUCCGUUUCUCACCAACCUCAGCCCUCUCCAGACCUCUUUCCUUUUGUUGGGUCUCCACGUUCUUAGCUGCUCGAACAGCUGAUUUCAGAGUGGUUGCCAUCUUGACUGUUGGGCCAAAGUCAGCCGGCAGUCCGUUUGCGAAUUUCUCAAUUUUGGAAAGUUCGGUUGGCACUAGGUAUGGAAACAACUUCAUCUUUUCCGUAAAUGCAGCAGCAUAGUCAUCGAUGCUCAUUCUCCCCUUCUUCAAAUUUUGGAACUCAUUGUUCAGAUCAAUCAGGUCUAUCUCUGAACAGUACUGCGCCUUCAGUUGUUCCAAGAACUCAUCCCAUGACAUUUUCAGAGCUUCUCCCCGUGGCAUUGUAUCUGCCAAUAGCUUCCACCAGCUCAAGACUCCAGUUUUCAAUUGUCUCACAGCGAAGACAGUCUUCUGCUUCUCGCUGCAGUCGCAGCUCUCAAACACCAUCUCCAUCUCGGAGAUCCAGUCCAUAAUCUCAACAGGCUUUGGGCUUCCUGAGAGACUUGGUGGUUUCGCACCCAAGAAAUUUUUGUACAUCCGCCCAUCCUUGUUGUUUCUCCCUUCUGGGCCAUCCUUUUGCUCACCUUGAGUCCCUACUUGACUCACUUGGCGGCUAUAGUUCCCUUCCUCAGAUGGCUCGGGAACUGGCUCCGUCGGUUCAACAUGUAUGGUAGGUUCGUCCCUAUUUUCGUGGAGCAUCCGUCUCAUUUCUUCCCUUUGUUCAGCUAGCAUAGCCUGAAUCAUGGCUUGAACUCCAGCCAUGGUGACUGGCUCAGGUGCAACUUCUUCAACAACAGGUAUUUGCUGAACCACUGGGGGUUGGUUCCUACCUCCAUUUGCGUUCACGUUUCCGCUACGGGUCCUUGCCAUCUUGAUCUAUACACCGAAUAAGGUGAAUUUAGAUCUUUAUUUAGGAUAGACGUUUUAAAUCGUCCUUAUCACUCCGAAACGUUUACAUGCUAGUUCUAAUAUCGUAGUCGUACGUUUAGAAUCCUAAACACAUAAGGUUUCCAGAUCCGGUCGGCAACAGACCAUAGAUCCGAACAAUUAACAGCAUAUUAUGCACAAAGCAUUUAGCACAUAAAAGCAUUUUAGGCACAAUUCCUAAAAUAAGCUAGUGCUCACACCUCACAAUCAUCGCUUAGCAUUCUAAGUUUAAGUCUAGAAAUCCUACAAAUUCCUAGUUCGCUUAAACUAAUGCUCUGAUACCAACUGUGACAUCCCCAAAAUCACGGCCAGAAAAGACCGGUUUGUUUAUGCUUUGUUUAAAAAUCAGAGUUACAUUUUAAAUGAAAGUGUUGCGGAAUUUGUCCCAAAACAAAAAUAUGAUAAAGAUUUAUCAAAAGCAUUUCCAUAGAAAUGUAUUUCAUUAAAAGACUCGGGAUGUCAUGUUCGUACAGAUCAAAAGCAUAAACAGUACAAUAUAAGCCUUACUACAUUAUUUCAUAUCUACAGGCCUAUAUCCGUAAUCCCUCGUCCAAAACAUCACACCUAUGCUCAUGCGCCACUACCUGUAAUACAUAAAACUGAGUGGGUCAGGCUUGGGAGCCUGGUGAGCACAUAGGGUUUUCAACCCACAAUAAAUAAGUUUAUUAAUUUCAUCGAUCAACAAUAACCCGAUUACCCGUUCCCGUUAUCCUCACUUUACGUCCCUAAACACCUAUCAUAAGGGACCUAGCCUAAGGAUCAUCAUCGGGACGGACACUACUGCUAAGGGGAUUCCUCAGCAAUAAAUGUCCUAAAGGCAACCAUGUGGGGGAUGGAGUACACCGGUGAACAUAUCGUUCACAAACACCUACAGGUUGCGAGCCUGCUAGUGUUCCACUGGACUGUCUAGAAGAGUCCGUGGUCGUCAUCCAUACUCCGCUAGAUGACAGAAUCAACAACAUCAACAUCGAGGCCUCUCAUCAUUUUAUCACACAUCACCUAUUGCAUCUACCCAUGUUUUACCCCAACAUUUUCGUAGAUAUAAAAUACAUAUACAGUUUAAAUCAUUGAAAACAUGUAUAACAACGUUCAUCUAGCAUAGAUAGCAAGUAUUCAGAUAAUAUGCACACAUAGCACGUAAUUUAUAUAAAAUACUUCAUAUCUAUGUGUAAGUUGAAAGUAACUAUGCACUCACUUGUUAAGGUGAUGAUUCCAAAAUCGGGCAGCGCUUGCUUCUAACGAUUCUAUUUUCCUUCGACGAAACCUAGCAUUAUUAUCGCUAAAUUUUAGUCUAAUAUUUACCGUGACCAACUAUUAGUCUUAGUAUUAUUAUUAUUAUAUAAGCGUUAAACAAUAUUUUCCAACCACUAUGUACAGACAGGGGCCAGACAUAAAACACCGGAGGGCAGGACCAUUUUGGCAUAUAGCACUUCUGAAAUCCAACAACCCUAUGCGGCCCUUUAAACCAGAUUCCCCGUACCGCGAGUAGUUAAAAAAAAAUUUAUAACGACACUUAUAUAAGUUAUAAUAAUAGCUCAAAUAUUUAUUAUAAGUUCAUAAUAACAAUACUAAUUUUAAAUAUAAGCUAUAUUAAAAUAAGGUAAGCAUAACUUACUUACAAGGGGGUUUUAGCUAGGAGUCGGGCUCUGCAGGGGCAGAACUUCGUCGCUGAAUCUUUCUAAGAAAGAUUCGUGCAGCGCUUCAGCGCUCACCUUACUAUACUAAGCUACAGAAAGAGAAGUCGAAUCACGAGGGACCGAAAUGCUCGGGGGAUAAGGAGAGAAAGACUCUUGAAUCAAGAGAAUGGUGCAAGAAAUAUGAGAGCCCAAGGCUCUUAUUUAUACUAAUUGAAUUUUCAAAAACUACCCUCCAUAAUUACUUAAUGACCUUUUAGUUAUAUAAACAACUAAACACCCCUCUAUAAUACUAUUAUAAAUGGAUUUAAUGAUAUUUGUACUAAACUAAUGUCGAAAGAACUCAACAUUAGUCUUAUAAUGACCGCAUCGUCGAUACCUUUCUAAUGAUAUAUACAUAUGUAUAUAUAUGUGUACGUAUACAUGAUUUAUACUUUAUUUUAAUACGUAAAUAUGCUAUUAUAAUUUGUAACUCGUUCAUACGAACUCCGUUUUUGACGUUCUUUAUAUCCACGCGUAGGUGAAGACGUACUCUACAACUUUCGUUUAGACUCCGUCGGCUAAUUUUGACUUUAUUUUUAAAGUUAUAUUUUUAACAAGCCGGGACAGGAUUGGUCUGUUUAAAAUCUCAUAACUUCUUCAUACGAAGUCAGAUUUGGGCGUUCUUUUUAUCGAUGUUCUUAGUUUAACAUAUUCUACGACUUUCGUUUAGAUCACUAAGGCUAAAUCUCGCUCUAUCGUAAAUUCACUAUUCACGCUUCCCGGUAUCGUGCCGGUUCUGUCGUGAAACUUCGACGGGUCAUAACUUCUUCGUUAUAACUCGGAUUUCGGCGUUCCUUAUAUGCACGGAAACCUUGAGACAUAUUCUACAACUUUAUGUAGAGAUAUCGGGCUUAUCUUACACUUUAAUUUUGACGCUUAUUUUUAUUAUUUAUUAAUUAUACAUUUAUAAUUAAAUUAUAAGCACAUAAAUACACAUAAUUCACAUAAUACUCAAAUAUUUCAUCUUUAUUACUUCAAAAAGAGUUACAAGAGUUGACCUA